This 301-nucleotide ribosomal RNA is filed under the name uncultured bacterium. RNAcentral describes it as "partial 16S ribosomal RNA". It matches the Rfam family "Bacterial small subunit ribosomal RNA", at positions 509 to 807 of the family's 1533-position model. The record is from RNAcentral.
CAGCAGCCACGGUAAUACGAAGGGGGCUAGCGUUGUUCGGAUAUACUGGGCGUAAAGCGCACGUAGGCGAACUUUUAAGUCAGGGGUGAAAUCCCGGGGCUCAACCCCGGAACUGCCUUUGAUACUGGGAGUCUUGAGUUCGAGAGAGGUGAGUGGAAUUGCGAGUGUAGAGGUGAAAUUCGUAGAUAUUCGCAGGAACACCAGUGGCGAAGGCGGCUCACUGGCUCGAUACUGACGCUGAGGUGCGAAAGCGUGGGGAGCAAACGGGAUUAGAUACCCCUGUAGUCCCUGUCUCUUAUAC